CCAAGCCCAGGCACCCGAGGCCCGAGGUGCCAGCCGUAGAGGAGAGAACCCAACGCAAUUCCAUAUGUUCAAGAGGCAGAUCCAGGGAGACACUGUGCAGUAGGAGAGAAAUAUGAGAACCCCAAUCUCAGGAUUCAAGGUCUGGGGAUCACUGAAGGAAAGGCUCUGUAAACUCCUGUUCGUUUCUUCCCUGCACAGCUGCAAGAUCACAAGACAGAGACGCAUAACCUGCAAACCAAGUUUUCCCAGAC
Long non-coding RNA from Homo sapiens (human), 251 nucleotides. RefSeq lists it as uncharacterized. The record is from RefSeq and is a predicted model, not a curated record. The transcript is spliced from 3 exons. NCBI's taxonomy places the organism in Eukaryota, Metazoa, Chordata, Mammalia, Primates, Hominidae.